UGUUAUUUCCAGAGUGAAUUUAGCCUAACACCACUGCUUUUUUCGACUGUAUCUUGUGCUGUUGCAUAAUGAUGUGUCUUUCAAAUACGCAAGAUUACAGCUCCUUUAAUGGAACUGGAUAGAAAAUUCAAUUGGUGAUUUAAAAAUAGAGCAGACUGAUUAAACAGAAAAACCCCGCUGGCAAAAGCUAACGGGGUUUCUUUGUAUUUAC
This 211-nucleotide unclassified non-coding RNA is filed under the name Moritella viscosa. RNAcentral describes it as "putative sRNA". Lineage: Bacteria; Pseudomonadati; Pseudomonadota; Gammaproteobacteria; Alteromonadales; Moritellaceae. The record is from RNAcentral.